UGCGCAGGCGGAAACGUAAGUGCUUUGUGAAAGCCCAUGGCUCAACCAUGGAAGUGCUUGGCAAACUACGUUUCUUGAGGUCGGUAGAGGCUGUCGGAACUGUAGGUGUAGCGGUGAAAUGCGUAGAUAUCUACAGGAACACCAAAGACGAAGGUAGGCAGCUGGGCCGAUUCUGACGCUGAGGCACGAAAGCGUGGGUAGCGAACAGGAUUAGAUACCCUGGUAGUCC
This 229-nucleotide ribosomal RNA is filed under the name uncultured bacterium. RNAcentral describes it as "partial 16S ribosomal RNA". It matches the Rfam family "Bacterial small subunit ribosomal RNA", at positions 568 to 796 of the family's 1533-position model. The record is from RNAcentral.